This 468-nucleotide ribosomal RNA is filed under the name uncultured bacterium. RNAcentral describes it as "partial 16S ribosomal RNA". It matches the Rfam family "Bacterial small subunit ribosomal RNA", at positions 28 to 507 of the family's 1533-position model. The record is from RNAcentral.
GACGAACGCUGGCGGCGCGCCUAACACAUGCAAGUCGAACGGAGCUGAGAGAAGCUUGCUUUUCUUAGCUUAGUGGCGAACGGGUGAGUAACGCGUGAGUAACCUGCCCUGGAGUGGGGGACAACAGUUGGAAACGACUGCUAAUACCGCAUAAGCCCACGAUCCGGCAUCGGAUUGAGGGAAAAGGAUUUAUUCGCUUCAGGAUGGACUCGCGUCCAAUUAGCUAGUUGGUGAGGUAACGGCCCACCAAGGCGACGAUUGGUAGCCGGACUGAGAGGUUGAACGGCCACAUUGGGACUGAGACACGGCCCAGACUCCUACGGGAGGCAGCAGUGGGGGAUAUUGCAAAAUGGGGGAAACCCUGAUGCAGCGACGCCGCGUGGAGGAAGAAGGUUUUCGGAUUGUAAACUCCUGUCGUUAGGGACGAUAAUGACGGUACCUAACAAGAAAGCACCGGCUAACUACGUG